UACGUAGGGUGCAAGCGUUGUCCGGAAUUAUUGGGCGUAAAGAGCUCGUAGGCGGUCUGUCACGUCGGACGUGAAAAUCUAGGGCUCAACCCUGGACCUGCGUUCGAUACGGGCAGACUAGAGUUCGGUAGGGGAGACUGGAAUUCCUGGUGUAGCGGUGAAAUGCGUAGAUAUCAAGAGGAACACCUGCGGCGAAGGCGGGUUGCUGGGCCGACACUGACGCUGAGGCGCGAAAGCUAGGGGAGCGAACGGG
This 253-nucleotide ribosomal RNA is filed under the name uncultured bacterium. Its description in RNAcentral is "partial 16S ribosomal RNA". It matches the Rfam family "Bacterial small subunit ribosomal RNA", at positions 524 to 776 of the family's 1533-position model. The record is from RNAcentral.